Molecule: ribosomal RNA, 556 nt
Filed under: uncultured bacterium
Lineage: Bacteria
Description: bacterial SSU rRNA
Rfam family: Bacterial small subunit ribosomal RNA
Source: RNAcentral
GAGUUUGAUCCUGGCUCAGGACGAACGCUGGCGGCGUGCCUAAUACAUGCAAGUCGAACGCACUCUCGUUUAGAUUGAAGGAGCUUGCUCCUGAUUGAUAAACAUUUGAGUGAGUGGCGGACGGGUGAGUAACACGUGGGUAACCUGCCCUAAAGUGGGGGAUAACAUUUGGAAACAGAUGCUAAUACCGCAUAAAACCUAACACCGCAUGGUGUAGGGUUGAAAGAUGGUUUCGGCUAUCACUUUAGGAUGGACCCGCGGUGCAUUAGUUAGUUGGUGAGGUAAAGGCUCACCAAGACCGUGAUGCAUAGCCGACCUGAGAGGGUAAUCGGCCACACUGGGACUGAGACACGGCCCAGACUCCUACGGGAGGCAGCAGUAGGGAAUCUUCCACAAUGGACGAAAGUCUGAUGGAGCAACGCCGCGUGAGUGAAGAAGGUUUUCGGAUCGUAAAACUCUGUUGUUGGAGAAGAAUGUAUCUGAUAGUAACUGAUCAGGUAGUGACGGUAUCCAACCAGAAAGCCACGGCUAACUACGUGCCAGCAGCCGCGGUAAU